This 154-nucleotide microRNA precursor is filed under the name Amborella trichopoda. RNAcentral describes it as "MIR8565 microRNA precursor family". It matches the Rfam family "MIR8565 microRNA precursor family". Lineage: Eukaryota; Viridiplantae; Streptophyta; Magnoliopsida; Amborellales; Amborellaceae. The record is from Rfam by way of RNAcentral.
CCCACACCCAUGUGUGUAGGACCCUAAAGGAUCACUAUUAAAUUUGGCACAGAUCUCUAGAAAAGUAAUUAUAUGGGUGUGGGACUUGACUUUUCUAGAGAUUUGUGCCAAAUUUAAUGGUGAUCUUUUGAAGUCCUACACGCAUGGAUGUGAG